RNAcentral lists this small RNA (1380 nucleotides) under Rattus norvegicus (Norway rat). RNAcentral's name for it is "uncharacterized LOC102556190". Lineage: Eukaryota; Metazoa; Chordata; Mammalia; Rodentia; Muridae. The record is from RNAcentral.
AAAGAACAGAGGUUCUGACACCCGCCUGCCACCUCUUGCUUGGGAGGCCCCUGAGGUUGGCUCUGUCACAGUCUCGGUGCAUUCUAGACAGCCUGUGCUCUGCCCAAGUCCCCAUCAGGAUGCCUAGCCCAGGAAGACUAAAGUCAGCUCGGCCCCUCCACCAUGCAGGGCAAAGUCGACAGAGGCGUGCCUUCUACUAGAGAACUUUGGCCACAGCUAGUAGACAGCUCAGACAUGACUACGACCAGGGACAGUGAGCAGGUAAGGGAACACUCCUGGCUUGGGGGAGGGGGGUUUUGGGGGGGAAGACCUAAUGAGAGUUAGAAAAGAAUAGGUCAUUUUUAUCCCAGAAUUCAGCAGCCCAGACCUCAGACCUCCUCCCCCAGACCCCAGUUCCUUUACCUCCUCCCUCGAACCCGGGGAAUCCAGUUCCUUGACCUCCUCCCUCAGACCCUGGAAACCCAGUCCCUUGACCUCCUCCCUCAGACCCAGGAACCUGGUUCCUUGACCUCCUCCCUCAGACCCAGGAGUAAUGGCCCAUGUAUUUCUCUAUCAAACCAGAGCUCCAGAUUCCAGCCCUCCUCCUUCCUACCCAGUGAUCCUCCUUAACCUUCCUCCCUUAAACCCACAACUACAAGACUCCAACCCUCUUCCCUCAGACAGAGGAGUCCUAAUGCUUACUCUUUAGGAAUACCAGUUAGCUGGCUGUCCCUGCUACAGCCACCCCAGCCACACAGCUGGAAUACUUUCACACUCGGGAGUUUUCACUGUCAGCGGCUGAAGGACAGCCACGUGCUAGCUCACUGCACAUACUGUACACAUCCGUGCUGACCUUCCCCGGGGUUAGCAUGGAAUUCAGGACUGGUUGUGUACAGGAUGGUGGCCCCUUCCUGAUAUUUGGGCAUCAUGCUUUUCUCUGCAGACCAAGGAGAGGCAGGCAGCUGAGUCCCAAGUUUGAGGAAGACAGGAUAACAGUAUUUUCCUGCUGGGAGAGCUGAAAAGUGGCCAGUGAGGGGAGAGUCUUGCAGAAGUCAUUGAUCAAUGGGCUUAAAGGCUUGUUCAGGAAUUCACCAGCCUGGAGUAAGAACUUCUGGUAAUCAGAUACAAGGUAACAGCAAACAUUUUUUCCCAAGGUUGUGACCAGCUGUUUGCACCCUUAUUUAUCAUGUUCUCUUCAGAUCACAGACUCUCAAGCAAGGCGGUGGUGGCCCAGGAGUUUAAUUCCAGGACUCAGAAGGCUGAAGCUGCAGAGCUGUGAGUUCGAGGCCAACCUGGUCUACAGAGCAACAGCUCUCCUCCAUGGCUCCCCACUUCUGACCUCGCUCGCGGUUCAGAUACCUCUCGCACCCGACUCGUGUCUACCCAUUUUGCCGCUCGUUA